This is a non-coding RNA of Schistosoma mansoni, 46 nucleotides long. Lineage: Eukaryota; Metazoa; Platyhelminthes; Trematoda; Strigeidida; Schistosomatidae. The record is from Rfam.
GCACUGAUGAAAAGUCCCAUAGUAGGACGAAACGGCCGUCCAGUGC